This 446-nucleotide ribosomal RNA is filed under the name uncultured bacterium. RNAcentral's name for it is "partial 16S ribosomal RNA". It matches the Rfam family "Bacterial small subunit ribosomal RNA", at positions 338 to 795 of the family's 1533-position model. The record is from RNAcentral.
CCUACGGGAGGCAGCAGUCGAGAAUCAUUCACAAUGGGGGAAACCCUGAUGGUGCGACGCCGCGUGGGGGAAUGAAGGUCUUCGGAUUGUAAACCCCUGUCAUGUGGGAGCAAAUUAAAAAGAUAGUACCACAAGAGGAAGAGACGGCUAACUCGGUGCCAGCAGCCGCGGUAAUACAGAGGUCUCAAGCGUUGUUCGGAAUCACUGGGCGUAAGGCGUGCGUAGGCUGUUUCGUAAGUCGUGUGUGAAAGGCGCGGGCUCAACCCGCGGACGGCACAUGAUACUGCGAGACUAGAGUAAUGGAGGGGGAACCGGAAUUCUCGGUGUAGCAGUGAAAUGCGUAGAUAUCGAGAGGAACACUCGUGGCGAAGGCGGGUUCCUGGACAUUAACUGACGCUGAGGCACGAAGGCCAGGGGAGCGAAAGGGAUUAGAUACCCGGGUAGUC